Molecule: ribosomal RNA, 509 nt
Filed under: Naucoris sigaloeis
Lineage: Eukaryota; Metazoa; Arthropoda; Insecta; Hemiptera; Naucoridae
Description: partial large subunit ribosomal RNA
Rfam family: Eukaryotic large subunit ribosomal RNA
Source: RNAcentral
GAAGUCUAACAUGUGCGCGAGUCAUUGGGUGGUAAAACCUAAAGGCGGAAUGAAAGUGAAGGAAGCUUUGCUUUCCGAGGGAGGAUGGGGAUGUCGGCUCAAAGGGCGGUCCCCCGCACUCCCGGGGCGUCUCAUUCUCACUGCGAGAAGAGGCGCACCCAGAGCGUACACGUUAGGACCCGAAAGAUGGUGAACUAUGCCUGGUCAGGACGAAGCCAGGGGAAACCCUGGUGGAGGUCCGUAGCGAUUCUGACGUGCAAAUCGAUCGUCAGAGCUGGGUAUAGGGGCGAAAGACUAAUCGAACCAUCUAGUAGCUGGUUCCUUCCGAAGUUUCCCUCAGGAUAGCUGGUGCCCGUGUGAGACGAGUCUCAUCCGGUAAAGCGAAUGAUUAGAGGCCUUGGGGCCGAAACGACCUCAACCUAUUCUCAAACUUUAAAUAGAUGAGAACUCCGGCUUGCUUGAAAGUGAAGCCGGAGAUUCGGAUCAGGGUGCCCAGUGGGCCAAUUUUG